CUCAACCACCGCCACCCCCAACCCAGACUUUCGCUACUCUGAGUCUUCGGCCUCGAGUUGACUGUGGUCACCCUGCUUUUAGGCCAGAGUCUUCUCCGGACCGUGCCAUGCCGGGACCGUGGAAGAAAUGAAAGUAGAAGAGGAAGGAUCUUCCAUCUUGGAUCUCCUAUCCUGGCCCUUUGAGGAGACAGCAUGGCAGUAAGAGAAGUUGAAGUGAGACUCCCUUUGGUGUGAAGAAGACAAGGUUCAAGGGAAUAUGGCGGGGGAAGACAGGGUUGACAAAGAUGUACAUUAAAAUUCAGUGUUACCUUAGACAAA
Marmota monax (woodchuck) is the source of this 318-nucleotide long non-coding RNA. RefSeq lists it as uncharacterized. NCBI's taxonomy places the organism in Eukaryota, Metazoa, Chordata, Mammalia, Rodentia, Sciuridae. The transcript is spliced from 2 exons. The record is from RefSeq and is a predicted model, not a curated record.